AUUGAACGCUGGCGGCAUGCUUUACACAUGCAAGUCGAACGGUAACAGGCCGCUUGGUCCUGAAGUGUGGGGCGCGCGGGUGUGUAAUGCCUGGAAGUGUGCCGUCGUGGGGGGGAUAUCCUCGGGAAAGGGGCUCUAAUCCCACAUGCGCCCUGGGGGAGAAAGGGGGGGAGCAAGGGCCCUCGCGCUUUCAGCGGCGCCUAGGUCGGAUUAGCUAGUUGGUGGGGUAAAGGCUUACCAAGGCGACGAUCCGUAGCUGGUCUGAGAGGAAGACCAGCCACACUGGGACUGAGACACGGUCCAGACUCCUACGGGAGGCAGCAGUGGGGAAUUUUGGACAAUGGGCGAAAGCCUGAUCCAGCCAUGCCGCGUGUGGGAAGAAGGUCUUCGGGUUGUAAACCGCUUUUGUUCGGGACGAAACGCAGUAGGUUAAUACCCUGGGGUUAUGACGGUACCGAAAGAAUAAGCACCGGCUAACUACGUG
This 484-nucleotide ribosomal RNA is filed under the name uncultured bacterium. RNAcentral describes it as "partial 16S ribosomal RNA". It matches the Rfam family "Bacterial small subunit ribosomal RNA", at positions 28 to 507 of the family's 1533-position model. The record is from RNAcentral.